AAGCAUCGGCUAACCCCGUGCCAGCAGCCGCGGUAAUACGGAGGAUGCGAGCGUUAUCCGGAUUUAUUGGGUUUAAAGGGUGCGUAGGCGGAUAGAUAAGUCAGUGGUGAAAUUCUGCAGCUUAACUGUAGACUUGCCGUUGAUACUGUCAGUCUUGAGUAUGGUCAAGGCAGGCGGAAUGUGUAAUGUAGCGGUGAAAUGCUUAGAUAUUACACAGAACACCGAUUGCGAAGGCAGCUUGCUGGGCCAUUACUGACGCUGAUGCACGAAAGCGUGGGGAUCGAACAGGAUUAGAUACCCUGGUAGUCCACGCCGUAAACGAUGAUCACUCGCUGUUGGCGAUACACAGUCAGCGGCUAAGCAAAAGCAUUAAGUGAUCCACCUGGGGAGUACGGCCGCAAGGCUGAAACUCGAAGGAAUUGACGGGGGCCCGCACAAGCGGAGGAACAUGUGGUUUAAUUCGAUGAUACGCGAGGAACCUUACCUGGGCUUAAAUGUAGGGUGCAUUGGUGAGAAAUCAUCAUUUUCUUCGGAACUCUCUGCAAGGUGCUGCAUGGUUGUCGUCAGCUCGUGCCGUGAGGUGUCGGGUUAAGUCCCAUAACGAGCGCAACCCUUAUCGUUAGUUGCCAGCGGGUAAUGCCGGGGACUCUAGCGAAACUGCCGGUGUAAGCCGAGAGGAAGGUGGGGAUGACGUCAAAUCAGCACGGCCCUUAUGUCCAGGGCUACACACGUGUUACAAUGGCCGGUACAGAGGGCAGCUACCUGGAGACAGGAUGCGAAUCUCGAAAGCCGGUCUCAGUUCGGAUCGGAGUCUGCAACUCGACUCCGUGAAGCUGGAUUCGCUAGUAAUCGCGCAUCAGCCAUGGCGCGGUGAAUACGUUCCCGGGCCUUGCACACACCGCCCGU
This 906-nucleotide ribosomal RNA is filed under the name uncultured bacterium. Its description in RNAcentral is "bacterial SSU rRNA". It matches the Rfam family "Bacterial small subunit ribosomal RNA", at positions 488 to 1397 of the family's 1533-position model. The record is from RNAcentral.